UGUGAAGUUCGCAAAUUUACCCUUCAGC
This 28-nucleotide small RNA is filed under the name Bombyx mori (domestic silkworm). Its description in RNAcentral is "ovarian small RNA-9089". The record is from RNAcentral. Lineage: Eukaryota; Metazoa; Arthropoda; Insecta; Lepidoptera; Bombycidae.